AGACCCGAAACCCGGUGAUCUAGCCAUGGGCAGGUUGAAGGUUGGGUAACACUAACUGGAGGACCGAACCGACUAAUGUUGAAAAAUUAGCGGAUGACCUGUGGCUGGGGGUGAAAGGCCAAUCAAACCGGGAGAUAGCUGGUUCUCCCCGAAAGCUAUUUAGGUAGCGCCUCGUGAAUUCAUCUCCGGGGGUAGAGCACUGUUUCGGCUAGGGGGCCAUCCCGGCUUACCAACCCGAUGCAAACUGCGAAUACCGGAGAAUGUUAUCACGGGAGACACACGGCGGGUGCUAACGUCCGUCGUGAAGAGGGAAACAACCCAGACCGCCAGCUAAGGUCCCAAAGUCAUGGUUAAGUGGGAAACGAUGUGGGAAGGCCCAGACAGCCAGGAUGUUGGCUUAGAAGCAGCCAUCAUUUAAAGAAAGCGUAAUAGCUCACUGGUCGAGUCGGCCUGCGCGGAAGAUGUAACGGGGCUAAACCAUGCACCGAAGCUGCGGCAGCGAACGUAUCACCCAAGACAACUUUACGGAGUUGACGAUUGACGGAGCGAAGCGACGUCAAAGCGUUCAUUAAAGUCGAGUUGGCUUAGGGAUACGUUCGUUGGGUAGGGGAGCGUUCUGUAAGCCUGUGAAGGUGUGUCGUGAGGCAUGCUGGAGGUAUCAGAAGUGCGAAUGCUGACAUAAGUAACGAUAAAGCGGGUGAAAAGCCCGCUCGCCGGAAGACCAAGGGUUCCUGUCCAACGUUAAUCGGGGCAGGGUGAGUCGACCCCUAAGGCGAGGCCGAAAGGCGUAGUCGAUGGGAAACGGGUUAAUAUUCCCGUACUUGGUGUUACUGCGAAGGGGGGACGGAGAAGGCUAUGUUGGCCGGGCGACGGUUGUCCCGGUUUAAGCGUGUAGGUGUGUGUUCCAGGUAAAUCCGGUUCACUUUAACACUGAGGCGUGACGACGAGGCACUACGGUGCUGAAGCAACAAAUGCCCUGCUUCCAGGAAAAGCCUCUAAGCAUCAGGUAACACGAAAUCGUACCCCAAACCGACACAGGUGGUCAGGUAGAGAAUACCAAGGCGCUUGAGAGAACUCGGGUGAAGGAACUAGGCAAAAUGGUGCCGUAACUUCGGGAGAAGGCAC
RNAcentral lists this ribosomal RNA (1125 nucleotides) under Salmonella enterica. RNAcentral describes it as "partial 23S ribosomal RNA". It matches the Rfam family "Bacterial large subunit ribosomal RNA", at positions 711 to 1749 of the family's 2925-position model. Lineage: Bacteria; Pseudomonadati; Pseudomonadota; Gammaproteobacteria; Enterobacterales; Enterobacteriaceae. RNAcentral also lists the same sequence under 1 other name. The record is from RNAcentral.